GGGCCGUUAGCUCAGCGGUUAGAGCAGGGGACUCAUAAUCCCUUGGUCGUAGGUUCGAAUCCUACACGGCCCACCA
RNAcentral lists this transfer RNA (76 nucleotides) under Halochromatium salexigens. RNAcentral describes it as "tRNA-Met". It matches the Rfam family "tRNA". From Rfam's summary of the family: Transfer RNA (tRNA) molecules are approximately 80 nucleotides in length. Their secondary structure includes four short double-helical elements and three loops (D, anti-codon, and T loops). The record is from RNAcentral. Lineage: Bacteria; Pseudomonadati; Pseudomonadota; Gammaproteobacteria; Chromatiales; Chromatiaceae. RNAcentral also lists the same sequence under 8 other names.